AAUUAUUUUUAUUUCUAGCUAAGAUGGGCAUGUUGCAGUUAUGACAGUUAUAAAUUUUAUCUUAGUAAUAUCUCAGUGAUAUUAAGAUUGGAUUUGCUUAAUAUUUCUUUCAAAAUAGAGUAUGAAUGGGACUUAGUUGAAAUGCAAAGAAUGAGCUGAACGUAUCUUGACAUUUAUUAGGUAUGAAAAGUUAUGAAUGGGGCUUACUUGAAAUGCAAGGAAGGAGCUAAACUAAUCUUGACAUUUAUUAGGUAUGAAAAGUUAUGAAUGGGGCUUACUUGAAAUGCAAGGAAGGAGCUAAACUAAUCUUGACAUUUAUUAGGUAUGAAUGGGACUUAGUUGAAAUGCAAAGAAUGAGCUGAACGUAUCUUGACAUUUAUUAGGUGUGUAUAUUUAUG
Molecule: long non-coding RNA, 398 nt
Organism: Argiope bruennichi
Lineage: Eukaryota; Metazoa; Arthropoda; Arachnida; Araneae; Araneidae
Exons: 5
Source: RefSeq, a predicted model, not a curated record